AGUGAACGCUGGCGGUAGGCCUAACACAUGCAAGUCGAACGGCAGCACAGUAAGAGCUUGCUCUUACGGGUGGCGAGUGGCGGACGGGUGAGGAAUACAUCGGAAUCUACUUUUUCGUGGGGGAUAAGGUAGGGAAACUUACGCUAAUACAGCAUACGACCUACGGGUGAAAGCAGGGGAUCUUCGGACCUUGCGCGAUUGAAUGAGCCGAUGUCGGAUUAGCUAGUUGGGGGGGUAAAGGCCCACCAAGGCGAGGAUCCGUAGCUGGACUGGGAGGAUGGUCGGCCACAUUGGAACUUAGACACGGUCCAGGCUCCUACGGGAGGCAGCAGUGGGGAAUAGUGGACAAUGGUCGCAAGCCUGAUCCAGCCAUACCGCGUGGGUGAAGAAGGCCUUCGGGUCGUAAAGCCCUUUUGUUGGGAAAGAAAAGCAGCAGGUUAAUACGCCGCUGUUCUGACGGUACCCAAAGAAUAAGCACCGGCUAACUUCGUG
This 492-nucleotide ribosomal RNA is filed under the name uncultured bacterium. Its description in RNAcentral is "partial 16S ribosomal RNA". It matches the Rfam family "Bacterial small subunit ribosomal RNA", at positions 29 to 507 of the family's 1533-position model. The record is from RNAcentral.